CAAGAAGUAGUUUAAUUAAAAUAUCAGCUUUGG
RNAcentral lists this transfer RNA (33 nucleotides) under Rattus satarae. Its description in RNAcentral is "partial tRNA-Pro". Lineage: Eukaryota; Metazoa; Chordata; Mammalia; Rodentia; Muridae. The record is from RNAcentral.